RNAcentral lists this ribosomal RNA (449 nucleotides) under uncultured bacterium. RNAcentral describes it as "bacterial SSU rRNA". It matches the Rfam family "Bacterial small subunit ribosomal RNA", at positions 354 to 796 of the family's 1533-position model. The record is from RNAcentral.
GUGGGGAAUCUUGCGCAAUGGGCGAAAGCCUGACGCAGCGACGCCGCGUGAGGGAAGAAGGCCUUCGGGUUGUAAACCUCUUUCAGGAGGGACGAAGCUACUCGGGUUAAUACCCCAGAGGGUGACGGUACCUCCAGAAGAAGCCCCGGCUAACUACGUGCCAGCAGCCGCGGUAAUACGUAGGGGGCAAGCGUUGUCCGGAAUUAUUGGGCGUAAAGAGCGUGUAGGCGGCCAGAUAAGUCCGCUGUGAAAUCUCGAGGCUCAACUUCGAGCUGUCGGUGGAAACUAUCUGGCUAGAGUCCGGAAGAGGAGAAUGGAAUUCCUGGUGUAGCGGUGAAAUGCGCAGAUAUCAGGAAGAACACCCGUGGCGAAGGCGGUUCUCUGGGACGGUACUGACGCUGAGACGCGAAAGCGUGGGGAGCGAACAGGAUUAGAAACCCGAGUAGUCC